Molecule: ribosomal RNA, 377 nt
Filed under: uncultured eukaryote
Lineage: Eukaryota
Description: partial 18S ribosomal RNA
Rfam family: Eukaryotic small subunit ribosomal RNA
Source: RNAcentral
CAAUAGCGUAUAUUUAAGUUGUUGCAGUUAAAAAGCUCGGAGUUGGAUUUCGGGUGGGACGCAGCGGUCUCGCAUUGCGUUUGUACUGCUGCAGCCCUCCUUCUUGCCGGGGGCGGCCUCUCGGACUUCACUGUCUGGGGGUCAGAAUCGGCGAUGUUACUUUGAGUAAAUUAGAGUGUUCAAAGCAAGCUUACGCUCUGAAUAUAAUAGCAUGGGAUAACACGACAGGACUCUGGCCUAUCGUGUUGGUCUAUAGGACCAGAGUAAUGAUUAAGAGGGACAGUCGGGGGCAUUCGUAUUCCGUUGUCAGAGGUGAAAUUCUUGGAUUUACGGAAGACGAACAUCUGCGAAAGCAUUUGCCAAGGAUGUUUUCAUUG